Molecule: ribosomal RNA, 259 nt
Filed under: uncultured Staphylococcus sp.
Lineage: Bacteria; Bacillati; Bacillota; Bacilli; Caryophanales; Staphylococcaceae
Description: partial 16S ribosomal RNA
Rfam family: Bacterial small subunit ribosomal RNA
Source: RNAcentral
CGGGUGAGUAACACGUGGAUAACCUACCUAUAAGACUGGGAUAACUUCGGGAAACCGGAGCUAAUACCGGAUAAUAUUUUGAACCGCAUGGUUCAAAAGUGAAAGACGGUCUUGCUGUCACUUAUAGAUGGAUCCGCGNUGCAUUAGCUAGUUGGUAAGGUAACGGCUUACCAAGGCAACGAUGCAUAGCCGACCUGAGAGGGUGAUCGGCCACACUGGAACUGAGACACGGUCCAGACUCCUACGGGAGGCAGCAGAC